AUGAUUAGCAACUGGCAACCAUCAGCAGCAGACCCACUGUGGAGUCUCCUGGGAAAGUGUGAACAUGACAGUAAACAGCUUACAUCAAAGACAUUUCAAUUCUGCAACAAGCCUUUCUGCUUCGGAGAGGAGGAAUUUCCUGGAAGAAAAGGAAAACAAUCUCUUCACAUUUUGCUCACCAAAGGGCAGUGGUGAGGCCCCUGCCUCGUGAAUAACCUUCAUUCUGAGUGUGCUGUAAAUAUUGAAUAGAUUGUAAAAGUCUGCACAUAUAUAUUAAUAUCAUUGCAUUCUUCAUAAUGAAUCAUUGCAGCAUACUUUUUAAACUUGAUCUUGUUUUUUAUCUUUAACAUAGUAGGAAAUUGAUUACAGAGGUCUAUGGCAUGACUUUUUCUUUACUGACCAUCCAAAUUUCUGAGAAAUGCAAAUUUUUAAUUUUUUCUUUCACGAAUUGCAUGUAGAUACAGAAAGUGAUAAUUCCUUUAUAUUUAGAGCUAGUCAAAGGCUCCUUGAAGAUAGUGGCCAAGUUUAAUUUUCAUAGCUAAAUAUUUUCAGUGAGGAUUUUUAAAUAAUUUAAAAGAUAAACAGAAGAUAUAGUAUGUUAAUAAGAUUUUAAAGAAACAUAGAAUAACCUGCAUCUUUUAGGGGUUUUUAAUGUUUAUUUAUUUUUUCUUUAGUAAUCUCUACACCCUACAUGGGGCUCAAACUCACAACCCCAAAAUCAAGGGUCCCUUGCUUUUCCAACUCAGCCCUGUAACAUUCAUCUUUUAAUUUGGAAAAUAAAUACGUAAA
RNAcentral lists this long non-coding RNA (789 nucleotides) under Felis catus (domestic cat). RNAcentral describes it as "lncRNA (ENSFCAG00000040627.2)". Lineage: Eukaryota; Metazoa; Chordata; Mammalia; Carnivora; Felidae. The record is from RNAcentral.